Molecule: ribosomal RNA, 570 nt
Filed under: Meyerozyma guilliermondii
Lineage: Eukaryota; Fungi; Ascomycota; Pichiomycetes; Serinales; Debaryomycetaceae
Description: LSU rRNA
Rfam family: Eukaryotic large subunit ribosomal RNA
Source: RNAcentral
AAACCAACAGGGAUUGCCUUAGUAGCGGCGAGUGAAGCGGCAAAAGCUCAAAUUUGAAAUCUGGCGCCUUCGGUGUCCGAGUUGUAAUUUGAAGAUUGUAACCUUGGGGUUGGCUCUUGUCUAUGUUUCUUGGAACAGGACGUCACAGAGGGUGAGAAUCCCGUGCGAUGAGAUGCCCAAUUCUAUGUAAGGUGCUUUCGAAGAGUCGAGUUGUUUGGGAAUGCAGCUCUAAGUGGGUGGUAAAUUCCAUCUAAAGCUAAAUAUUGGCGAGAGACCGAUAGCGAACAAGUACAGUGAUGGAAAGAUGAAAAGAACUUUGAAAAGAGAGUGAAAAAGUACGUGAAAUUGUUGAAAGGGAAGGGUUUGAGAUCAGACUCGAUAUUUUGUGAGCCUUGCCUUCGUGGCGGGGUGACCCGCAGCUUAUCGGGCCAGCAUCGGUUUGGGCGGUAGGAUAAUGGCGUAGGAAUGUGACUUUACUUCGGUGAAGUGUUAUAGCCUGCGUUGAUGCUGCCUGCCUAGGCCGAGGACUGCGAUUUUAUCAAGGAUGCUGGCAUAAUGAUCCCAAACCGC